Molecule: long non-coding RNA, 3583 nt
Organism: Misgurnus anguillicaudatus (oriental weatherfish)
Lineage: Eukaryota; Metazoa; Chordata; Actinopteri; Cypriniformes; Cobitidae
Source: RefSeq, a predicted model, not a curated record
UAUAGUGCAGGUGCAUCAGCACAGUUACAUUGAAAACCUACAACCAGUUCACUUACAGGCAGCACGAGCUGUACAGAGAGAGGCUCCACUAAACGAGAAAGUAAAAUAACAACUCCGGUCCAAAUUGGACAGAUUUUGUGAGUUGCUAAACAAACAAGACCAAAUGUAAUGUUUGACACAUGUAGCCUAGCAUCCAACAUUAAGAAUGAUACUGUUCAGUCCAUACAUGAAAUGAAAGUCACACUUAAGUUCCAACACUUGGGAAACAGUGAAGAUUUAAGUUUAGUGGCUUUCAGUGAUGCCUCACUAGGCAAUCUUCAGGAUGGAGGUACACAGGAAGGGGCUUUAAUUGUCCUCAUGGAAAAAACAGUAAAGUGUUCCCCUUUGUUUUGGCAAUCUAAGAAAAUCAAACUUGUGGUAAGAAGCACGCUGGCAGGAGAAACCCUUGCGAUUGUAGCAGCACUACCCAGACGGGUUGAAUGAUAAGUGCUUUAAUUAGAGACAGGUGUGCUAUGGGUGUAGGUGUGCAUAAAAGGAAGGUUUCCAGCAUUGUUUGAGGCUGACGGGUGGUUGCUGCUGUGACUUUGGACGUUGAAUGCCUAAUGUUUUCUUAGUGGAUUUUUUGAGCCGUUUGGGACCAGCAUUUGAUUGUGGACUUGCUGCAUUUUGGUAUACAUGCCAUGUGGAGUUUAUCCAUCACUGGAUGUGUCAGCAGUGCCGACUCUCUAAUAAUCAGCUUAAAGCACUCCGGAGGUAUAUGCCCAUAUGACACUGGGUAGCGGAUUUGGAUGGUGGCCCAGCUUCCCCUUCUUGGUGUUUUAUUAUUAUUUUUCUAAUUUUUUUGUUUAAGUAUCUGCCUAGCGGCUUACUUCUGUGACACCUGGUCCACCCCUUCAUUUGUGCCGUCCGCAUUAAGUGGCCUGUUCCUGGGAAUAACUGUGGGACAGGGUAUUAGUUUUUCUCAGUCGCUUUGGUGCAUUUUUCACAUCACUAUUUACAUUCGCACAACAGUUAGUUCAACCUCCACAACAUUUAGUCAUUUGUGCACGUCAUAGUAGCAGUUUCUCAUUCCUUCGAACAAAUUGCAAAUGCUUUUGGACAUGCAUCAAUUGCUUUCAUACAAUUCUCUGCUGUUUUAUAACAUUAUCAUUUGUUUGUCAUGUCAGUCAAAAUUAACUAUACUUGUGAAUGCUGAAUAGUCAUUCCAUGUAAAACUAAUAGUCCUUAUUUCAUUGCUUCAGUCAUUACAUACAAAAAUUUUCAAGUUUUUUUUAAGUCUUUUUUUAUCCGAAAAGUCUCCUAAAUUGAACAAUUUUUGAGAUGAUGUGGCCAGACAGAGGAAUGUCUGGAUGUACAAGAAUGAUUACAGUACUAUGUCUGUUGUAUGUUCAGUUCCAAUAUGUACUGCAAUGUUUUUUACAAUUGUGCACAGCCAAAGUUUGUUUGUUGUAAAUAAGGAUGUAUUUUUUUCUUUUGCACAAUACUAUGAACAGAUUAGAAUUGCAAAUAGGGAUGGGACGAUUACCGGUUUCACGAUUAACCAUGAUAAAAUGUCCUGACGGUUAGUAUUAUCGUUUAAAAUGUAAUUAUCAUUAUAACCGUGUUUGAUUACCGUGAUUUUGAAAACUCGCGGUAAAUCCUGUCCAGCCAGAAUCAGCUUGACGCAGGCGCUCGCAUGCAACAUUAGCUUUUGUGCAGUGGUGGACAGUAACGAAGUAAAUGUAAUUCGUUACUUUACUUAAGUAGUUUUUUCACGUAUCUGUACUUUACUCAAGUACUUUUAUUUUGGGAGACUUUUACUUUUACUUUACUACAUUUUAAAGUAAAAUAUCUUACUUUUUACUCCACUACAUUUAAAAAAAUCGGUCGUUCCUUUUUAUUUAUCAGUGGAUAAAAAACGUAACUGGGCAAACUAAAGCUGCACAAAAAAAAACUAAGAUGCACACGUGAUGCGUCAAACCACCAAUCAGGGUACAGCAUGCGCUUCGUUUUAAACUUGUUUUGGUUGCCGCGCUGUUUCACGUAAGCUACGCGAGUCACGCGAGUGCAGCAGCCAGCCAAUGCAUCGUUUGGACAAUGAAACUGCAUUCAAAAAUAACGGAGGAGAUAACUGACCCGUCACAACAACAAUGGCCUUAUUUACGCGAGGUUUUUUUUAAGUCCUUGAAUAAAAGAACGAGUCAUUCGUGUCUUCUCUGCCUGCCUUGAAACUGUGCUAUUUCGUUUUAAAAGAAUACUCUUUCAAAUCUAAGGAAACGGGUAGAGGUAAGCCAUUUUUAUUCUGGUUAUAUUUUUAAAUGAGCAAUCUUAACAGUAGCUUGCAGAAAACUGUUAAUUGUGUUGCUAAAAUAUAUACGACGUUAUCAUGAAUGAACUUUAAGCUAUGCAGGCUGAAGCUAUUUUUAGCUGUAUAGUUAGCUGUUUCACUUAAGUUCGUUGUAUUUGAAGCUCAGUGCUCUGUUAUUUUGAAAUGACAAUUAAUCACUAUCAACACUGUUGUAAAAUAUAAAUGACAUUUUGACUAGCCAUGCAGUGUAUGAUGCUUAAACAGGCAGGUGGAUUGGAGUGCUCCCUAUUAACUGAGAUUGUUAUUAAUAUUUUCAAAAGAUUUGCUUCGAAAUUAUAUAAAUACAUUUAAUUAUUUAUUACAAUAUACAUAUGACAUGCUAAACCACAUGAAACGUUUCUGAAAUUAUAUUCUGUAAGGCUUGUUUUAUUUGUCAAAGAAAGGGAGACUGAUUUCUAGAUAACGUUAUGUAUUUAAUGUUUUGAAAACUAUUGUGAACCUGUGCUUAAGUCAAGUUUUUAUUACACUUAAACUGAUAAAUUAUGUAACAAAUAAAUCUUGAAAUGAGACUUACUGCUCUCAAAUCAUGUUAUUUCAUUUGAUGCUAAAGGAAAUUUUUUGUUUUUAAGGUUUUAGGCUUAUGAUAAUUUUAAUAGACAUCAGUGUCUGAUUUAUUAAUGACUUUUAUUAAUUGAUUGGUUAGCCAAGAGAGUUAUUUCACAUAAUUUGAGUUUUGUGACAAAAAUGAUACGGCCAUAAUAAAUCACAGUACUUUUGUACUUAAGUACAUUUUGAGGCAGAUACUUUUGUACUUUUACUCAAGUAAAAAUUUUAAGCAAGUACUUCUACUUUUACUUGAGUAAUAUUUUACCCUGGGUAUCUUUGCUUUUACUCAAGUACACGAUUUGUGUAAUUCGUCCACCACUGCUUUUGUGCGAGAAGGCGUGGCGGAUGCAGUAACAGGUGCACUGUGUUUUAAUGCGUUGCUUAUGUGUGCAUUUGUUUUUAUUUAAGCUACUGUUCAUUAAAACAGGUUCAUACAUUUCAGGGCUCCAUGUUAAUGUUCAUUUAAUGCAGGGGUGUCCAACACAACCAGUCGAUCGCAAAUGCAAUGCGGGUAGAUCGCCUAUAAGUUAAUAACUGUAUGCUGCUCCACGCCUCCACGAGCUUCGGAAAGCAAAGCGCCAAAUUGGCAUUAUGGUCUUAGAAGUCUUUUUGAGUUGUUGCGCAUUUCUUAAGUGUGUUUUUAUAAAUCUUAUGCCUGCCUGCUGCAGCGGAGUCGUCUAACUUCCGAAA